RNAcentral lists this long non-coding RNA (544 nucleotides) under Bos taurus (domestic cattle). RNAcentral describes it as "long non-coding RNA NONBTAT023054". The record is from RNAcentral. Lineage: Eukaryota; Metazoa; Chordata; Mammalia; Artiodactyla; Bovidae.
CUUUUAAAAAACUGAAAGCUCAGGUUUACUUUUUGGUAAUCAUCUAGGCUUAUGGCUUUUAUAAUUGUUCUCUGUAUUCACUUGGUCUUUGCUAGCCCUGUUGCUUAGAGAGGACAGCUAACUCCCAGGCAUCUCUGACUGGAUUCUCUUCAUACUGGCUCAUUUCCUUUUCAAUAUAUUAGCAAGUCGCUCCCAGUGCACCUAAUUGUAGCUUUGUUUGACUUUCCACCUCUCUCUGCUUAUUGAACUAGAAGAAAAGUACAUUAAAGCUUAUAUAAAUGGCCAGGUUUCUGGGUUUGGGGAAAAUGUUAAAGAAAGCAGACCUUUCAUUAAUGUGAAAGGGAGUGGACUAGUCCCAGCACUGAGAGAGCUGAAUGGAUAAAUUCAGGGAGGUACAAUAGGAAAACUGGAUAACUCCCAAAGCCACCCACGUUUGCCCUUUGCCAUUUUACUGUAUUAUUUUAGGUUUGAAGUUAAUUCCCAGAAUGCCAGAUAUACCCAUAUUCAGAUGUAAGUACAAAAACAUAUCCUGAAGCCAAAUAGG